UCCGAGUUGACCCCGGCGGCCUCCCAUGAGUCCCCACCAUCACGUGUUGGCAACUAGGGGCGAGGGUUGCGCUCGUUGCGGGACUUAACCCAACAUCUCACGACACGAGCUGACGACAGCCAUGCAGCACCUGUGAUCCUGCCCCGAAGGGAAGGUGUGUUUCCACACCGGUCAGGAACAUGUCAAGCCCAGGUAAGGUUCUUCGCGUUGCGUCGAAUUAAACCACAUGCUCCGCUGCUUGUGCGGGCCCCCGUCAAUUCUUUUGAGUUUUAGCCUUGCGGCCGUACUCCCCAGGCGGAACACUUAACGCGUUGGCUGCGGCACAGGGGGAUUCGACUCCCCCCACACCUAGUGUUCAUCGUUUACGGCUAGGACUAC
RNAcentral lists this unclassified non-coding RNA (378 nucleotides) under uncultured Actinomycetes bacterium. RNAcentral's name for it is "uncultured actinobacterium contains 16S-23S intergenic spacer region". The record is from RNAcentral. Lineage: Bacteria; Bacillati; Actinomycetota; Actinomycetes.